GUGGGGAAUAUUGGACAAUGGGCGAAAGCCUGAUCCAGCCAUGCCGCGUGUGUGAAGAAGGUCUUCGGAUUGUAAAGCACUUUAAGUUGGGAGGAAGGGCAGUAAGUUAAUACCUUGCUGUUUUGACGUUACCAACAGAAUAAGCACCGGCUAACUUCGUGCCAGCAGCCGCGGUAAUACGAAGGGUGCAAGCGUUAAUCGGAAUUACUGGGCGUAAAGCGCGCGUAGGUGGUUUUGUAAGUUGGAGGUGAAAUCACCGGGCUCAACCUGGGAACUGCCUCCAAAACUGCAUGACUAGAGUACGGUAGAGGGUAGUGGAAUUUCCUGUGUAGCGGUGAAAUGCGUAGAUAUAGGAAGGAACACCAGUGGCGAAGGCGACUACCUGGACUGAUACUGACACUGAGGUGCGAAAGCGUGGGGAGCAAACAGGAUUAGAUACCCGAGUAGUCC
This 450-nucleotide ribosomal RNA is filed under the name uncultured bacterium. RNAcentral's name for it is "partial 16S ribosomal RNA". It matches the Rfam family "Bacterial small subunit ribosomal RNA", at positions 354 to 796 of the family's 1533-position model. The record is from RNAcentral.